GACGAACGCUGGCGGCGUGCUUAACACAUGCAAGUCGAACGGAAAGGCCCCUUUGGGGGUACUCGAGUGGCGAACGGGUGAGUAACACGUGAGUAACCUGCCCUUGACUUCGGGAUAACUUCAGGAAACUGGGGCUAAUACCGGAUAGGAAUCCUUGCUGCAUGGUGGGGGUUGGAAAGCUUCGGCGGUUUUGGAUGGACUCGUGGCUUAUCAGCUUGUUGGUGGGGUAGUGGCUUACCAAGGCUUUGACGGGUAGCCGGCCUGAGAGGGCGACCGGCCACAUUGGGACUGAGAUACGGCCCAGACUCCUACGGGAGGCAGCAGUGGGGAAUAUUGCACAAUGGGCGGAAGCCUGAUGCAGCAACGCCGCGUGCGGGAGGACGGCCUUCGGGUUGUAAACCGCUUUCAGCAGGGGCGAAGCUUGUGGUGACGGUACCUGCAGAAGAAGCACCGGCUAACUACGUG
RNAcentral lists this ribosomal RNA (465 nucleotides) under uncultured bacterium. Its description in RNAcentral is "partial 16S ribosomal RNA". It matches the Rfam family "Bacterial small subunit ribosomal RNA", at positions 28 to 507 of the family's 1533-position model. The record is from RNAcentral.